This 906-nucleotide ribosomal RNA is filed under the name Chiua virens. RNAcentral describes it as "eukaryotic LSU rRNA". The stretch from base 330 to 484 matches the Rfam family "5.8S ribosomal RNA". Lineage: Eukaryota; Fungi; Basidiomycota; Agaricomycetes; Boletales; Boletaceae. The record is from RNAcentral.
GGCUACUGGAACAGGCAGUACUGUUCAUAACAUGAGGAAUUGACGAGGGAAUGACUGUGCUGGCUUGACGAAAAGUCAUUGGCUUGGCUAUUAGUGGAGGCGAACGCAGCGAAAAGCUUAGCUACUAGUCGAAGCGAACGCAAGUCAAAGUCUAGUAACGGAGAGCAUGUGCACGUCUUUCUCUUUCCACUCUCACACAUGUGCACCUAUUGUAGGUCCUUGCAAGAGGACCUAUGUCUACCUACACACCCAAUGUAUGUCUAUAGAAUGUGAACCGAACCCAUCAAAAAGUGAUCACACUUGAUAGAGGGCUAGGAAAAUAAUUAUACAACUUUCAGCAAUGGAUCUCUUGGCUCUCGCAUCGAUGACGAACGCAGCGAAUCGCGAUAAGUAAUGUGAAUUGCAGAUUUUCAGUGAAUCAUCGAAUCUUUGAACGCACUUUGCGCCCCUUGGUAUUCCGAGGGGCAUGCCUGUUUGAGUGUCAGUGAAUUUAUCAACCAUGUCUUGGACUUUGUUUCUAGACACGGCUUGGACUUGGGAGCUUGCCGGUCUUUCAUGAUCGGCUCUCCUUAAAUGCAUUAGCGGAGCAUCCGAGGCUAGUCUUCUUCGGCGUUGCAUGGCUUGGACGUGAUAGUGAUAGAUCGUCCUGGCGUGGAGCGUCAAGACAAACUCGGGCACUUUGCUUCCAAUCCAUCCGGAUGGGGAUCAUCUUGCUGGAGGAGACUUUAGUUAUUAGUGGACACGAACACAGUCGGGCUAGAAAACCCCUCUGUUAUUAGUCGAGACGAACACAAGGCCAUCCAUAACAUAGACUGGGUUGCCAUCUGACUUUUUACACCCUUGACCUCAAAUCAGGUAGGACUACCCGCUGGAACUUGAGCAUAUCAAUAAACUGAGAGGAGGGGA